Molecule: ribosomal RNA, 2904 nt
Filed under: Escherichia coli
Lineage: Bacteria; Pseudomonadati; Pseudomonadota; Gammaproteobacteria; Enterobacterales; Enterobacteriaceae
Description: 23S ribosomal RNA
Rfam family: Bacterial large subunit ribosomal RNA
Source: RNAcentral
GGUUAAGCGACUAAGCGUACACGGUGGAUGCCCUGGCAGUCAGAGGCGAUGAAGGACGUGCUAAUCUGCGAUAAGCGUCGGUAAGGUGAUAUGAACCGUUAUAACCGGCGAUUUCCGAAUGGGGAAACCCAGUGUGAUUCGUCACACUAUCAUUAACUGAAUCCAUAGGUUAAUGAGGCGAACCGGGGGAACUGAAACAUCUAAGUACCCCGAGGAAAAGAAAUCAACCGAGAUUCCCCCAGUAGCGGCGAGCGAACGGGGAGGAGCCCAGAGCCUGAAUCAGUGUGUGUGUUAGUGGAAGCGUCUGGAAAGGCGCGCGAUACAGGGUGACAGCCCCGUACACAAAAAUGCACAUACUGUGAGCUCGAUGAGUAGGGCGGGACACGUGGUAUCCUGUCUGAAUAUGGGGGGACCAUCCUCCAAGGCUAAAUACUCCUGACUGACCGAUAGUGAACCAGUACCGUGAGGGAAAGGCGAAAAGAACCCCGGCGAGGGGAGUGAAAAAGAACCUGAAACCGUGUACGUACAAGCAGUGGGAGCCUCUUAAUGGGGUGACUGCGUACCUUUUGUAUAAUGGGUCAGCGACUUAUAUUCUGUAGCAAGGUUAACCGAAUAGGGGAGCCGAAGGGAAACCGAGUCUUAACUGGGCGUUAAGUUGCAGGGUAUAGACCCGAAACCCGGUGAUCUAGCCAUGGGCAGGUUGAAGGUUGGGUAACACUAACUGGAGGACCGAACCGACUAAUGUUGAAAAAUUAGCGGAUGACUUGUGGCUGGGGGUGAAAGGCCAAUCAAACCGGGAGAUAGCUGGUUCUCCCCGAAAGCUAUUUAGGUAGCGCCUCGUGAAUUCAUCUCCGGGGGUAGAGCACUGUUUCGGCAAGGGGGUCAUCCCGACUUACCAACCCGAUGCAAACUGCGAAUACCGGAGAAUGUUAUCACGGGAGACACACGGCGGGUGCUAACGUCCGUCGUGAAGAGGGAAACAACCCAGACCGCCAGCUAAGGUCCCAAAGUCAUGGUUAAGUGGGAAACGAUGUGGGAAGGCCCAGACAGCCAGGAUGUUGGCUUAGAAGCAGCCAUCAUUUAAAGAAAGCGUAAUAGCUCACUGGUCGAGUCGGCCUGCGCGGAAGAUGUAACGGGGCUAAACCAUGCACCGAAGCUGCGGCAGCGACACUGUGUGUUGUUGGGUAGGGGAGCGUUCUGUAAGCCUGUGAAGGUGUGCUGUGAGGCAUGCUGGAGGUAUCAGAAGUGCGAAUGCUGACAUAAGUAACGAUAAAGCGGGUGAAAAGCCCGCUCGCCGGAAGACCAAGGGUUCCUGUCCAACGUUAAUCGGGGCAGGGUGAGUCGACCCCUAAGGCGAGGCCGAAAGGCGUAGUCGAUGGGAAACAGGUUAAUAUUCCUGUACUUGGUGUUACUGCGAAGGGGGGACGGAGAAGGCUAUGUUGGCCGGGCGACGGUUGUCCCGGUUUAAGCGUGUAGGCUGGUUUUCCAGGCAAAUCCGGAAAACUAAGGCUGAGGCGUGAUGACGAGGCACUACGGUGCUGAAGCAACAAAUGCCCUGCUUCCAGGAAAAGCCUCUAAGCAUCAGGUAACAUCAAAUCGUACCCCAAACCGACACAGGUGGUCAGGUAGAGAAUACCAAGGCGCUUGAGAGAACUCGGGUGAAGGAACUAGGCAAAAUGGUGCCGUAACUUCGGGAGAAGGCACGCUGAUAUGUAGGUGAAGCGACUUGCUCGUGGAGCUGAAAUCAGUCGAAGAUACCAGCUGGCUGCAACUGUUUAUUAAAAACACAGCACUGUGCAAACACGAAAGUGGACGUAUACGGUGUGACGCCUGCCCGGUGCCGGAAGGUUAAUUGAUGGGGUUAGCGGUAACGCGAAGCUCCUGAUCGAAGCCCCGGUAAACGGCGGCCGUAACUAUAACGGUCCUAAGGUAGCGAAAUUCCUUGUCGGGUAAGUUCCGACCUGCACGAAUGGCGUAAUGAUGGCCAGGCUGUCUCCACCCGAGACUCAGUGAAAUUGAACUCGCUGUGAAGAUGCAGUGUACCCGCGGCAAGACGGAAAGACCCCGUGAACCUUUACUAUAGCUUGACACUGAACAUUGAGCCUUGAUGUGUAGGAUAGGUGGGAGGCUUUGAAGUGUGGACGCCAGUCUGCAUGGAGCCGGCCUUGAAAUACCACCCUUUAAUGUUUGAUGUUCUAACGUUGGCCCCUGAUCGGGGUUGCGGACAGUGUCUGGUGGGUAGUUUGACUGGGGCGGUCUCCUCCUAAAGAGUAACGGAGGAGCACGAAGGUUGGCUAAUCCUGGUCGGACAUCAGGAGGUUAGUGCAAUGGCAUAAGCCAGCUUGACUGCGAGCGUGACGGCGCGAGCAGGUGCGAAAGCAGGUCAUAGUGAUCCGGUGGUUCUGAAUGGAAGGGCCAUCGCUCAACGGAUAAAAGGUACUCCGGGGAUAACAGGCUGAUACCGCCCAAGAGUUCAUAUCGACGGCGGUGUUUGGCACCUCGAUGUCGGCUCAUCACAUCCUGGGGCUGAAGUAGGUCCCAAGGGUAUGGCUGUUCGCCAUUUAAAGUGGUACGCGAGCUGGGUUUAGAACGUCGUGAGACAGUUCGGUCCCUAUCUGCCGUGGGCGCUGGAGAACUGAGGGGGGCUGCUCCUAGUACGAGAGGACCGGAGUGGACGCAUCACUGGUGUUCGGGUUGUCAUGCCAAUGGCACUGCCCGGUAGCUAAAUGCGGAAGAGAUAAGUGCUGAAAGCAUCUAAGCACGAAACUUGCCCCGAGAUGAGUUCUCCCUGACUCUUUAAGGGUCCUGAAGGAACGUUGAAGACGACGACGUUGAUAGGCCGGGUGUGUAAGCGCAGCGAUGCGUUGAGCUAACCGGUACUAAUGAACCGUGAGGCUUAACCUU